GUGUGAUUCUCUCCGAGCUGAGAGAGGAGAGAGGAUGCAUUUCUCUGCUCCUGCAGAGGCAAGAUGUCUUUCUGUAAUAUACCAGCUUGGAACUGUAAAUAAAGCAAUAUGGAGUAUGGAGCACGUAUUCUUCAUCCUUCCGCUGGCCACGACAGACUCUGCUUUAAAUCAACACGUGGUUAUGGGCUCCAGAGGUCGAAUCGGAGUGCCGGCAGAGGAUCGGAAUGCAGAGGAGGACAGAUCGGAACGGAAUCUGCUCUGCGCGUAGAAGUGAUUGAUGAGGUAUGUGCUACUGCUCCGGGCAGCCUGCCAGCUUCAAGUUAAUGGCUUUAUGGCUGGACUUUGAACUUUUAAAGCCGGUUUUGCCGGGAAUAGGCAAAAGGCUCCCAGGCACAAGUCACUAUGCUGGGGAAAUCGAAAGUAACUUUUAAGUGUGCCUUUGUAAUGAAGCAGCUGCAGCAGUGACGCAGCAAGAUUUAAAGCAGCAUAUGACGCUGAAGGCUAAUGCCAGAGUCAUGAUGGCCCUUCAGGAUGCUUGUGGGAUUCCUAAGCUCAACAAGAAAAAUUACAGCGACUGGGUUCAGUAUGCAGAGGCAAUUCUGCGGAAAGAGGGUUUGUUUGAGGUGAUUACAGGAACCCCCAGUUCCAGUUACAGAUGCAUGGGAAGCUAAGGAUUCCAAAGCAAGGGAACUCUUACAUUGAUAGUAUCCCCAGAAGAGCUCUGUCUAUUGCGUGAUAAGACCUCAGCCAGAGAAAUUUGGGACGCUCUGAGAGAGGCUCAUUUAAGGACAGAAGCUGGAUCAACUAUGUUUUAUUUUAACAAGCUGCAUAAUAUGGCUCUUGCUGAAGGUGGAGAUGUGCGUUUACAUCUGAUGGAGAUGCAAAAUCUGAGACAUGAGCUGCAACAGAGAGGACUCAACUUUCCAGAGGCUGUGUAUUCUUUCAUGAUACUACAAUCUUUGGGUUCAGGUUGGGAGUCUGUUGCAACCCAGAUUGCUGUGCAACCAACUGCUCAGCUGACAGUGGACUUUGUUACUGCCGUGAUUUUAAAUGAAGCAGAUCGCCGGGGUGCUAGCUGCAUGGGCAAGGGAGAGUCUUCACAGACGUCAUCCCAUAGUGCAGUGGAACCACCAGAUGGCGCCAAAGCUUUGAAGGCAGUGAAAUGCUACUCGUGUGGACGUCUAGGCCAUAUGAAGAGGGAAUGCAGACAUCCCAGGGCCAAGACAGAGCAGCGCAGCGAAAGCUCAUCGCGCGGAAAAGGCCGAGGCAAAGGCAAAGGUCCGGUGUCUAGGACAACGCAGCACAAGGCUAUGGUUUCACGCUUCACUCCAAAGGUUGCAGAGGUCCAGAAGACGUCUAGAUCUUUCUUCGUUGUUGAUUCAGCGGCCACCCACCACAUGUGCAACGAUAAGAAACUGUUUGUGUCUUUUACACCGCAGGAAGGUGCGAUUCACCAGGCGGAUGACCACACUAUUCCCAGUAAAGGCUACGGAACUGUUGUUCUUCACAGUUUGGACUUAUCGAUACAGAAUGUGCUUUACGUGCCAGACGCCAAACAUAAUCUGCUCAGCGUUGGACAGCUGAAUGAGCGGAACAUUGACGUUUCCUUCAAGAACAAGAAGUGCAUCAUCACAAAGAAAAAUGAUUAUGUAUUGCAUGCAGAAUAUGUUGAUCAUUUGUUUGUUUUGUAUUAUGAUGAUGUGGUGCAGGAUGACACUUGUUGCAUUGCAGGUUCUAACAAAAGUUUGCAUGCAGAAUGUAUUCACGAUUUUCAUCGCAAAUUUGGUCAUUUGCAUUUUGAGGCAGUAUCUAAAAUGCCUGCCUUGGUUGAAGGUAUGACUAUUAAACCCUGCAGGUACCACAUGAAGUGCAAAGCAUGCGCAGCAAACAAGGUGAAAAUGGCUGCGAAAGGUAAGGUGUCUAGUAGGAAAGCUACAGAACCAUACCAGGUUGUUCAUGCUGAUUUGGUUGGACCACUAUCGCCCUCUUUGGGUGGAAAUAGAUACUUCAUGGUUCUCAUUGAUGCAUUUUCUAGAUAUAUUUUUGUGUACAAUCUCAAGCAGAAAUCAGAGGCUUUUCCUAGGUUCAAGGAAUUCUGUGCUUGGUUGGAAAAUGUGCAUGGUAAGAAGAUAAAGACUCUUUUCAGUGAUCGCGGGGGGGAAUUCACUUCUCAGCAGUUUGAAGCUUUUCUGACUGAGAAAGGAAUUCAACACGAUUUGUCUAGUCCUCGCUCGCCAUGGCAGAAUGGACUUGCGGAGCAGGCAAAUCAGACAUUGCUUCAAGGCUUAAAAACCUUGCUGCAUGAUGCCAAUCUUCCAGAGAGUUAUUGGGCCGAAUCUCUCUCGUGUUUUGUUUACAGUUACAAUCGCAGGUUAUCUUCAGCGAUUGGAUGUACCUCUAUGAGAAGAUGUUUGGCAAGAAGCCAUACAUCAAACACAUGAAGAUUUUUGGUUCUGACAUGUGGGUUCGCUCACCACAAAACUCCAAGUUAGACAAGCGUGGAUUGCAUGGUAUCUUUCUAGGUUAUCAGAAAGGGUCUUACAGAAUAAUGAUGACUGACUCUAAGACAAUUAAGCUCACGAGAAGUGUUGAGUACAAUGCAAAGUGGGGGAGAAUGUGGGAAUUUUCCAAUGUUAUCCUGAUGACGGUGAUGAGACUGAGGAUAGUCAAAAGCAACCACAACAACCCACACCCACUGAUGAAGGUUCUGAGUCUGAAUCUGAAACUGAAUCGGGUGAUUCAGAGGAUUUCAAGAGUGCGAAAGCCUCUAUGCGACCCUCUGAAAGCUCUGAUCAAGAAUUGGAGGAACCAUUGUUCACAAUAGGUCGUUUUUCUCCUAAGAAGGAAGAGGAGAGUGUUGAAGACUUAAGGCUAAUUCGUAGGUCACAGAGAGCCACAAAAGGCAAACCUCCAAAGAGAUUUGCUGAUGAGUUUGCUACGAUAGCAGUAACAGCUGUUAAAAGCUCCAAGAAGGUAUUUGAACCUUCAAGUUUCCAAGAAAUCCAGGGUUUGGAUUCAAAGGAAGCUGAGCCAUGGUUAAAUGCCAUGAAGGCUGAGCUUGAUUCCUUAGAAAGGAACAAAACAUGGGAGCUAGUUCCAGUAGUUCCAGGAAUGAAACUGCUUGGAAGCAAAUGGGUCUUCAAAGCGAAGACAGAUCAAAAUGGCAAGAUAGUCAGACACAAAGCCAGAUUGGUAGCCAGAGGUUUUGCACAGGUACCAGGUGAAGACUAUCACGAGACCUAUUCACCCACAGUGAGAUAUGAAAGCAUUAGGCUUAUGCUUAAGCUAGCUGCAGAGGAAAAUCUACACAUUAGUCACCAUGAUAUUAAUACAGCUUUUCUGUACGGAUCUCUAGAUGAAUCACUUUAUAUGCUUCCACCUGAUGGCGUACAGGUAAAACAGGGAUUUGUUUGUGCUCUGAAGAAAUCCCUUUAUGGUCUCAAACAAAGUGCACGGUGUUGGCACACAAAACUCACUGAAGUAUUGUUUUCUCUAGGUUUUCAGCAAGGAAAGCUGAUCCAUGUGUAUUUGUCAAAGAGGAGGGGCAAAAGAAACUGUACUGUUUGUUUUAUGUUGAUGAUUUAUUAUUCUUUUGGAAAGAUGUUGCAAUGUACAAUAGCGCCCUAGCUCAACUGAAAGAGCACUUUGACAUGAAAGAUCUUGGUGAGGUAAACAACUACCUAUCUCUGGAAAUAGAGAGAGAUCAAGAUGGUAACAUUCUAGUACACCAGUCACGGAAAAUUGCUGAUGUGUUAAGCAAACUAAAUCUGAUGGAUGCUAACCCUGUAGACACACCGAUGACAACAGGUUAUCAGGUAGAUGACACUGAAGAAGCAUUUUCUGACACUACACUGUACAGGAGUGUGCUAGGCAAGCUAAACUUCAUUGCCAGAUGUUCAAGACCAGACAUUGCUGUUAGCUGUAAUUUGCUAAGCAGACAAGUCAACAAUCCUAGUGUCAAGGAUUGGAAAGCUCUGAAACGCAUAGCGCGGUAUUUGAAAGGCACUAUGCAUUACAGACUGAGAUUUAACAAUCAGAAGUCUGGUGGUCUUGAGAUAUUUGCAGAUGCAAGUUUUGGAAGUGACGCUACAGACAGGAAAAGUACGUCUGGAGUUUGCUAUAUGUACAAUCAGAGUCUGUUUGAUUGGUCAUGCAAGAAGCAAACAACAGUUAGCUUAAGUACUUGUGAAGCCGAACUGAAUGCACUGUCUUAUUCACUUAAGGAUUGUGAAUGGUUAGUACAAUUGUGCAAAGAUAUGAAAAUUCCUGUCAAAUGUCCAAUCCAGGUUUACCAGGACAACAAAGCAUGUUUGGCUUUGCUGAAGUCUGAAGGUUGUAAGCAAAGCACAAAGCACUUGCAAUUAAAGUUGCAGCAUGCUAGGGAAUGUAUUCAGAAGGGACUCGUAACGGUGUCCUAUAUGCCAGGUAAUGAAAUUCCUGCUGAUGUAUUGUCCAAGAUUGUAUCAAGGGAUCAACACUGUACCUAUGUGCAGAAGUUGGGUUUGUACUGAUAUUGUACGAACACGCUGCCCAGUGAUGUUCACAGAAAUGGGGAGGAUGUUGGUUUCUAUUUCCCUCACUGAGCAGCAACUGCAGUCACAAGACAGGUGUUUACAUUCCACAGUCUGUACUGUUGGAGUUUCUCACGGGAAAGGGAGACUGGAUGUGACGUACACUGGUUUCCUGUUUUUUCACUGUGUGAUUCUCUCCGAGCUGAGAGAGGAGAGAGGAUGCAUUUCUCUGCUCUUGCAGAGACAAGAUGUCUUUCUGUAAUAUACCAGCUUUGAACUGUAAAUAAAGCUAUAUGGAGUAUGGAGCACGUAUUCUUCAUCCUUCCGCUGGCCACGACAGACUCUGCUUUAAGUCAACA
This is a non-coding RNA of Podarcis lilfordi (Lilford's wall lizard), 4870 nucleotides long. NCBI's taxonomy places the organism in Eukaryota, Metazoa, Chordata, Lepidosauria, Squamata, Lacertidae. The record is from the annotation of a GenBank genome assembly.